GAUGAACGCUAGCGGCAUGCCUAACACAUGCAAGUCGAGCGAAAAGUCACCUUCGGUUCACCUAUACCGGUGCACGGGGGCGUAAGGCGUACACAAUCAGCCUUUCCCUUAGGGAUAGCUCGAAGAAAUGGGGAUUAAUACCUAUUGGUAUAUAUAUGCUGCAUCGUUUUGUUCUUUAAGCAACGGCGGUGUUGGUGGAGUAUGCGUUCGAUUAGCUAGUUGGUGAGGUAACGGCUCGCCAAGGCGCCGAUAGAGAGGGGUUCGGAGGGGGAUGUCCCCCACACUGGUACUGCGAUACGGACCAGACUGCUACGGGACGGAGCAGUAAGGAAUGCUGGACGAUGGACGGAAGACUGAUCCAGCCAUGCCGGGUGCAGGAUGAAGGUGCUAGGGAUUGUACACUGCUUGUGGAAGAGAAGAAUAAGAGUUACGUGUAGUUUGAUGACGGUACCUGACGAAUAAGCAACGGCUAACUACGUG
RNAcentral lists this ribosomal RNA (480 nucleotides) under uncultured bacterium. RNAcentral describes it as "partial 16S ribosomal RNA". It matches the Rfam family "Bacterial small subunit ribosomal RNA", at positions 28 to 507 of the family's 1533-position model. The record is from RNAcentral.